This is a long non-coding RNA of Ooceraea biroi (clonal raider ant), 461 nucleotides long. RefSeq lists it as uncharacterized. Lineage: Eukaryota; Metazoa; Arthropoda; Insecta; Hymenoptera; Formicidae. The record is from RefSeq and is a predicted model, not a curated record.
ACUCGCGGCGCCGCCGCUAGGUGGCUACCGUUUCUCGCAUACAAAAUCCUGGUGAAAACGGUAUAUAAAGAGGAUGAGACCGGCAGCCUGGGGAUUCGAUAUCAAAUAAAACAUUCAAAACGGUCGAUGAUAUUAGCGCUCUUCAAUUAUCUCCGGAUCCCUUUUACGGUCACGAAACUUUACUCAGGGCUGCUGGGCGGUCUUUAAGAAUCGGAGCGUCUCAUUUGCACACAGUUUAUUAGUACAAUUCGUUUCGGGUACAGCAAGAAUAAAUGAUAAAAAUAUAUCAAACUUAUUUAUCUAAAAAAAGAAGAUUUAUAUGUUUAUUUUAUUAAUUAUAUGCUCAUGUUGAAUAUAAUAGUUACAUUAUAUAUAAAUCAUUGGAAAUACUUGGCUUCUCAUUUCUAUGUGUUAUUUACAUUGUUACAUGAGAUUGAAAAUGUAGACUGGAGGAUACGGUU